GUGGGGAAUCUUGCGCAAUGGGCGAAAGCCUGACGCAGCCAUGCCGCGUGAAUGAUGAAGGUCUUAGGAUUGUAAAAUUCUUUCACCGGGGACGAUAAUGACGGUACCCGGAGAAGAAGCCCCGGCUAACUUCGUGCCAGCAGCCGCGGUAAUACGAAGGGGGCUAGCGUUGCUCGGAAUUACUGGGCGUAAAGGGCGCGUAGGCGGACAGUUUAGUCAGAGGUGAAAGCCCAGGGCGAAACCUUGGAAUUGCCUUUGAUACUGGCUGUCUUGAGUACGGGAGAAGUGAGUGGAACUCCGAGUGUAGAGGUGAAAUUCGUAGAUAUUCGGAAGAACACCAGUGGCGAAGGCGACUCACUGGCCCGUUACUGACGCUGAGGCGCGAAAGCGUGGGGAGCAAACAGGAUUAGAUACCCUAGUAGUCC
Molecule: ribosomal RNA, 425 nt
Filed under: uncultured bacterium
Lineage: Bacteria
Description: partial 16S ribosomal RNA
Rfam family: Bacterial small subunit ribosomal RNA
Source: RNAcentral